UGAUGAGAAGAGACUUCUUUCAAAAACAUUAAAAAUAGUAAUGUUUCCAAACUUUUGACCUGUACUGUAUAUGUGUGUGUUUAUAUAUAUAUAUAUAUAUAUAUAUAUAUAUAUAUAUAUAUAUAUAUAUAUAUAUAUAUAUAUAUAUAUAUACACACUAUAUGCUACAGAAGUAGCAGUAUUUCAAACACUAUACUUGAUGCUGUACUUUUCACAGGUCUAGUCUGAUAUAGCAUGCUGCUCUUACUAAAUAGUAUGAGUAGUGUGAUACCAUGCAAUUCCAAAUGCAGACUAUCCCUGCGUCCCAAUGUGCUUACUAUCCACCACCCUAUCUGCUCUAAAUAGUAUUGAAACGGACUAAUAUCAUAUAUCAUAGAAUUUAGGAUGAAUAAUAUGAAUUGGGACACAGGCUCAGUGUCAAAGCAUUGAGUGAACAUAAAUGUGUUGCUCCAGCAGAUGGAAGCAAAGGGAAACUGUCACUGAAAAAGACUUUUACCAGACCAACACACACUCCUAGUGCCUUAAAAUCUGCUGAACACUAGAGUUAUGGAGAUUUAAAACACACUCACACACACAUUUAAUCAAAAGACUUGACUCCAAAGGGCUGUUAGCACUACAUUAUGAAACCUUGUGAAGCAGUGUUUGGAUAAGAAGUUGAAAUAAAGACCUUGACCAUUGUAACAUCUCAUAAGUGCACAGAUGUGAUUGGUUGAUUCAUCUUUCAGGGCACCUGAUGGGCUGAGAUUGGACGAGUGAACAGAGAGGGAGGGUAGUACAAUACAGUACAGUAACUGUGUGCAACAGACUGCUGUCUUGUUCCAGUAAAACACUUUUGUCAUUUUAGCCUCUCAGUGACUCUGUAAAAGAGCUUUUGACAGCAAACAGAGAGUCUAUAUUGUGUUCAGGUUUGAAAUUGUGUUGGAUUUAGAGGUACUUUCAGGGUACAGGGUUCAAAAUAGUACCCUCAAACUCAAAAAUAAUAAUCUACUUCAGGGGGUCAAACGAAAUAUGAGUAUUCAUUUUAUAUGAGUUUUGCAAUUUUGUAACCUGUAACCAAAAUUAAGGACUGUGUAAAUACAUUUUAAAAACUUUAUUUGUGUGAUUUUAUUUUCUAGUAAUAAACAUAUACAUUAAAAAUAAUAAAAAUGUAAAUUUAAAUAAAAAUACUUACACUAGAAUAAGUUA
Molecule: long non-coding RNA, 1185 nt
Organism: Cyprinus carpio carpio
Lineage: Eukaryota; Metazoa; Chordata; Actinopteri; Cypriniformes; Cyprinidae
Source: Ensembl